GUGGAUUAGAUACCCUGGUAGUCCACGCUGUAAACGAUGUCGAUUUGGAGGUUGUGCCCUUGAGGCGUGGCUUCCGGAGCUAACGCGUUAAAUCGACCGCCUGGGGAGUACGGCCGCAAGGUUAAAACUCAAAUGAAUUGACGGGGGCCCGCACAAGCGGUGGAGCAUGUGGUUUAAUUCGAUGCAACGCGAAGAACCUUACCUACUCUUGACAUCCAGAGAACUUAGCAGAGAUGCUUUGGUGCCUUCGGGAACUCUGAGACAGGUGCUGCACGGCCGUCGCCAACU
This 288-nucleotide ribosomal RNA is filed under the name uncultured bacterium. RNAcentral's name for it is "partial 16S ribosomal RNA". It matches the Rfam family "Bacterial small subunit ribosomal RNA", at positions 773 to 1060 of the family's 1533-position model. The record is from RNAcentral.